GAUGAACGCUGGCGGCGUGCCUAACACAUGCAAGUCGAGCGGAGGCGAGCGAAUCAGCAAUGAAGAGCGGACCUUAGCGGCGGACGGGUGAGUAACACGUGAGCAAUCUGCCUUCGGCAGGGGAAUAACAUUGUGAAAACAGUGCUAAUACCGCAUGACGUCCGACCGGGACAUCCCGGAGGGACCAAAGGAGAAAUCCGGCAGAAGAUGAGCUCGCGUCCGAUUAGGUAGUUGGUGAGGUAACGGCCCACCAAGCCGACGAUCGGUAGCCGAACUGAGAGGUUGAUCGGCCACAUUGGGACUGAGACACGGCCCAGACUCCUACGGGAGGCUG
RNAcentral lists this ribosomal RNA (334 nucleotides) under uncultured Bacillota bacterium. RNAcentral describes it as "bacterial SSU rRNA". It matches the Rfam family "Bacterial small subunit ribosomal RNA", at positions 28 to 351 of the family's 1533-position model. The record is from RNAcentral. Lineage: Bacteria; Bacillati; Bacillota.